RNAcentral lists this ribosomal RNA (402 nucleotides) under uncultured bacterium. RNAcentral describes it as "partial 16S ribosomal RNA". It matches the Rfam family "Archaeal small subunit ribosomal RNA", at positions 473 to 873 of the family's 1478-position model. The record is from RNAcentral.
ACACCGGCAGCUCAAGUGGUAGCCGCUUUUAUUGGGCCUAAAGCGUCCGUAGCCGGUCUGAUAAGUCUCUGGUGAAAUCCCACAGCUUAACUGUGGGAAUUGCUGGAGAUACUAUCAUGACUCGAGGUCGGGAGAGGCUGGAGGUACUCCCAGGGUAGGGGUGAAAUCCUGUAAUCCUGGGAGGACCACCUGUGGCGAAGGCAUCCAGCUGGAACGAACCUGACGGUGAGGGACGAAAGCCAGGGGCGCGAACCGGAUUAGAUACCCGGGUAGUCCUGGCCGUAAACGAUGUGGACUUGGUGUUGGGAUGGCUUCGAGCUGCCCCAGUGCCGAAGGGAAGCUGUUAAGUCCACCGCCUGGGAAGUACGGCCGCAAGGCUGAAACUUAAAUGAAUUGGCGGGG